UACGAGGGCCCCAAGCGUUAUCCGGAUUUAUUGGGCGUAAAGCGUCCGUAGGUGGUUUAUCGCAUCUCCUGUUAAAUCCCGAGGCUCAACCUCGGGCCAGCGGGAGAGAUGGACAAACUAGAGAUCGGAAGAGGCAAACGGAAUUGCUGGUGUAGGGGUUAAAUCCAUUAAUAUCAGCAAGAACAUCAAAUGCGAAGGCAGUUUGCUAGGACGAAUCUGACACUCAGUGGACGAAAGCGUGGGGAGCGAAUGGGAUUAGAUACCCCAGUAGUCCACGCCGUAAACGAUGGAUACUAAGCAUUGGCAGUAUCGACCCUGCCAGUGUUGUUAAUUUAAGGUAACCCGUUAAGUAUCCCGCCUGGGGAGUACGAGCGCAAGCUUAAA
This 384-nucleotide ribosomal RNA is filed under the name uncultured bacterium. Its description in RNAcentral is "bacterial SSU rRNA". It matches the Rfam family "Bacterial small subunit ribosomal RNA", at positions 524 to 898 of the family's 1533-position model. The record is from RNAcentral.